RNAcentral lists this ribosomal RNA (253 nucleotides) under uncultured bacterium. RNAcentral describes it as "partial 16S ribosomal RNA". It matches the Rfam family "Bacterial small subunit ribosomal RNA", at positions 524 to 776 of the family's 1533-position model. The record is from RNAcentral.
UACAGAGGGUGCAAGCGUUAAUCGGAAUUACUGGGCGUAAAGCGUGCGUAGACGGUUACAUAAGUCGGGUGUGAAAGCCCCGGGCUCAACCUGGGAAUUGCAUUCGAGACUGCGUAGCUAGGGUGCGGAAGAGGGAAGCGGAAUUUCCGGUGUAGCGGUGAAAUGCGUAGAUAUCGGAAGGAACACCAGUGGCGAAAGCGGCUUCCUGGGCCAGCACCGACGUUCAGGCACGAAAGCGUGGGGAGCAAACAGG